GACGAACGCUGGCGGCGUGCUUAACACAUGCAAGUCGAACGGAAAGGCCUCUUUCGGGGGGUACUCGAGUGGCGAACGGGUGAGUAACACGUGAGUAACCUGCCCUUGACUUUGGGAUAACUUCAGGAAACUGGGGCUAAUACCGGAUAGGAGCUCCUGCUGCAUGGUGGGGGUUGGAAAGUUUCGGCGGUUGGGGAUGGACUCGCGGCUUAUCAGCUUGUUGGUGGGGUAGUGGCUUACCAAGGCUUUGACGGGUAGCCGGCCUGAGAGGGUGACCGGCCACAUUGGGACUGAGAUACGGCCCAGACUCCUACGGGAGGCAGCAGUGGGGAAUAUUGCACAAUGGGUGGAAGCCUGAUGCAGCAACGCCGUGUGCGGGAGGACGGCCUUCGGGUUGUAAACCGCUUUCGCUCAUGACGAAGCUUUGUGUGACAGUAGUGGGUAAAGAAGCACCGGCUAACUACGUG
RNAcentral lists this ribosomal RNA (467 nucleotides) under uncultured bacterium. RNAcentral describes it as "partial 16S ribosomal RNA". It matches the Rfam family "Bacterial small subunit ribosomal RNA", at positions 28 to 507 of the family's 1533-position model. The record is from RNAcentral.